GCUGAAUCAGUGAAUCCAAAGGGAAUCUUUCCACUGGCUUCGGUGGGCUUUGGAGGAGCCCUAAGUGAUGCACACACCAAAAAUCAGGAGGAGGAGGAAACUUGAGAGUCCAGAGCAGACGCGUCCAAGUCAUGGAAGAGAGCUACACAAAGACGCUUGCUCGCGCUGCUACUGGUAGCUAAUUUCAGGGUCGGAAACAACACAUUUGGAGUCAAGUUGCAAAAGAAUGAGGUGCAAAGAGAAGAGCAAUUACAUAAAAUAAGCCAGAAGGGCAUUUGACUAUGCAGUUCAAGGAUACGAUUUGUGAUCUGAAGGAAGAAAUACUGUAUUUCAGACUAAAAAAGUGACUGCACUAAGAAGGUCAGCUGAGACAGGCACCACACGUACCACAGCCCCGCUCCAGCGAAAGAGAAAUUAACUCAGGUAUGGAGCGUGUCAUCAGGCAUCACCUAAUGAGAUAAUGGAAAGACCUCCAGCUUUGUCACAAUUACAUUGCUGUUAGAGCAGCCAUCCUUGCAUAUUUCAUAGAGCUACACAAUGAUUUGAGGUCUCCUUUUGGGAUACUGGUACAAUAGCUUUUCAUAAGCCCAUGGCUUCCCUCCGCUCCCUUCCUUCAGCAGUGAAAUUCUGCCAUUCGAUCCAAU
This is a long non-coding RNA of Mauremys mutica (yellowpond turtle), 644 nucleotides long. RefSeq lists it as uncharacterized. Lineage: Eukaryota; Metazoa; Chordata; Testudines; Geoemydidae. The record is from RefSeq and is a predicted model, not a curated record. The transcript has 3 exons.